AAAACUUUGGUUGGAAGUUAUGUGUUGAAUGAUGAUGAAGUCAAUGAAAUUACUCCAUUUGAAACGAUUUCUUCAUUUUUAGUACAGUAUAAUGCAAACGGAUUCCUAGAAUAAUAAUGAUUUGACUAUUAUGUGGAAGAAGAAGUCAAGGGCGGGGGAUUCCCCAGGGAACAGGCUGGUUAUUUAUUACCUGUAUUAUCAGACCAUCGGUCCGGCGGUCAAAAAGGAGGAAGCCGGGGCGAAGUUCACGGGAAGCCACUUAACGCAUUCCAUUCUCUCUUGGCGGCCAAGGAAGUAAUCAGAAGCAGACAAGUAGUCCAUAGAUUAGAAAAAGAGGUCAAGAGUCUUGCUAGAAUACCAGGCAGGGCUGGGCGGUUGUCAGUUAGACUAGCACUACAAAUAUGAAGCAAUUUCUUUUCUUUUCUUUUUUUUUCUAGAAGGUGAGAAUGGAAUUUACUGUGUAUUACAAUAUGUACAUCAACUAAAAAUUUAACAAUCUAGUACUGUGAGUUACUUUUGUAUUUUUUUUAAUAGAAA
This 537-nucleotide long non-coding RNA is filed under the name Coffea arabica (coffee). RNAcentral describes it as "long non-coding RNA (CARA_LNC004956)". The record is from RNAcentral. Lineage: Eukaryota; Viridiplantae; Streptophyta; Magnoliopsida; Gentianales; Rubiaceae.